CUUGUACACACCGCCCGUCACACCAUGGGUGUGGGUUUCACCAGAAGUAGUUAGCCUAACCGCAAGGGGGGCGACUACCACGGUGAGAUUCAUGACUGGGGUG
Molecule: ribosomal RNA, 103 nt
Filed under: uncultured bacterium
Lineage: Bacteria
Description: partial 16S ribosomal RNA
Rfam family: Bacterial small subunit ribosomal RNA
Source: RNAcentral